CCAGUGUUGUCGCAUCUUCAUGUUCGUGGGAAUGUUAACAUUUCAACAAAUAUUUCAGGUGUUCAACAACCAGCACAGGACUGUGACCGCUACACUGAACUCCUGAUCAUUCAGAGACCCAGGGUUCCGAAGGAGAGAGGAGGAGCUCCGUUCCAGAGGUGACACCCUCCAGCAGGUCUUCAAGACCAGGGCCAGUGAGACACACAGCCGCAUUCAU
Molecule: long non-coding RNA, 217 nt
Organism: Alosa alosa (allis shad)
Lineage: Eukaryota; Metazoa; Chordata; Actinopteri; Clupeiformes; Clupeidae
Exons: 3
Source: RefSeq, a predicted model, not a curated record